AAGUGCCAAUGUCACCCUCUGCCUGGGAUUCCUGGCAUACAUCAGGCCUGGUUCUCCCGGUGCCACUCAGUGACUUCCUAGUCUCCUGCCUACUCCCAGCUAUCACCCUCCGAUUAAUGAUGAAAAAAAAAACAAAAACCAUAAUCAUCAUCUGUUUGGAGGAAAUGCAUCACUACCCUUUCCACAAGCAUUUUUUGCACACUUACUGUGUGCCAGACUAUGUGCUAGGUGAUGAAGAUAAAGGACAGAGUAAAAAGAUGAAAUAUAUGAAAAUAAACAAAUACAAUGCACCGUAGAAGACCUGUUACAGAAAAGAGUACUUAGAAUAUGUACUGCAGCAGCACAAAGGGGGAAGGGCAAUUCUGCCUGGAAUGAAAGGAGAGAAGAAAAGAAAAGAAGGACAUUUAUUCUGGGCAGAGGCACAGAAGUGCUAAAACAGCAUGGUGGCUGAAGAGAAAGGAGGGAGGAAUCAAUAAUGACACCCAGAUCUCUGGCUUAGAAUACCAACCAGGAUAAAGAACACAGGACACAGGAGUCCAAACAGGUUUGGCGUGAGACAAGAAAAGAAGCCCAAAGAUGAAGUGACCAGGCAAGUUCAAAUAUCGGAACUGGAGUCGGAACUGAAUUCUAAUUUUUGGACCUACAUUCUUUCUGAUUCCACACCACCUCUCUUGGAAACUAGGGAGCACCUAUUUGAAAACAUGCUUAAAGAUUCUUCAUAUGCCUAGUGUAUGCCUCAUGGUCAGCACUUCCAACUCCUUCGGCUACAUCUCCUGGCAUUCUUCUACCUGGACCCAACCCUUUGGUCAUACUGCACUACUAGCAGUGCUCCGAACAUUACACUUCCUCUCAUGCCUCUAUGCCUGUAUGUGUUUCAUUUCCUUUGCCUGGAAUGCCCACUUCUAGGCUAAUUCCUUUUCCUUUGAGGGUCAUCAUAAGGUAAUAACCCUAGCAAGUUAUCUGCUAUGGUUUGAACAUUUUUCCCCUCCAAAAUUCAUGUUUAAGCUUAAUCCCUAAUGUGGCAAUACUGAGAGGUGUGGCCUUUAAUAGUGACUCAGUCAUGAGGCCUCUGCCGCCUUGGGACUCUCCAGCAAGAAGGCUCUCACCAAAUGUGGCCCCUUGACACUGGAUUUCCCAGCUUCCAUAAGAAAUAAAUUCCUUUUAAAUUACCUAGUUUCAGGUAUUGUUAUAAGCAACAGAGAACAGAUUAAGGAAUCAUCCUAGUCUCUUCCAUCAUAAGCAAGCAGCCCAGGCAGGCAUUCCCAUAGGAUUCUGCUUUUCUCUAUCAGCAAUGAGCAUGUCACACUGUGAUCGUGCCUGCUUCUCUCCCUCAACUGUGAGCCACUUGAGGGCAGGGACUCUUAAACUGCUUUAUAUUCAUGGCCUCCCAGGAUAGCAUUAUCAUUAUUAUUUUCCAAAUUAAAAGAAAAUAAAUCCAAAGCAUAGAAAACAGCUAAAAUUCUGCAAAUCGUGCCACAGAUUACAGAGCAUGCUUUAAGAAUCCACAUUAAUCAAAAUAUGAAACUGAAGCCGGGCACGGUGGCUCACGCCUGUAAUCCUAACACUCUGGGAGGCUGAGGCGGGCA
This is a long non-coding RNA of Microcebus murinus (gray mouse lemur), 1586 nucleotides long. RefSeq lists it as uncharacterized. NCBI's taxonomy places the organism in Eukaryota, Metazoa, Chordata, Mammalia, Primates, Cheirogaleidae. The record is from RefSeq and is a predicted model, not a curated record.